Molecule: ribosomal RNA, 811 nt
Filed under: Salmonella enterica
Lineage: Bacteria; Pseudomonadati; Pseudomonadota; Gammaproteobacteria; Enterobacterales; Enterobacteriaceae
Also listed under: 2 other names
Description: partial 23S ribosomal RNA
Rfam family: Bacterial large subunit ribosomal RNA
Source: RNAcentral
ACACAAAAGCGCAUGUGCUGUGAGCUCGAUGAGUAGGGCGGGACACGUGGUAUCCUGUCUGAAUAUGGGGGGACCAUCCUCCAAGGCUAAAUACUCCUGACUGACCGAUAGUGAACCAGUACCGUGAGGGAAAGGCGAAAAGAACCCCGGCGAGGGGAGUGAAAAAGAACCUGAAACCGUGUACGUACAAGCAGUGGGAGCACAGGUUUACCUGUGUGACUGCGUACCUUUUGUAUAAUGGGUCAGCGACUUAUAUUCUGUAGCAAGGUUAACCGAAUAGGGGAGCCGGAGGGAAACCGAGUCUUAAUUGGGCGUUAAGUUGCAGGGUAUAGACCCGAAACCCGGUGAUCUAGCCAUGGGCAGGUUGAAGGUUGGGUAACACUAACUGGAGGACCGAACCGACUAAUGUUGAAAAAUUAGCGGAUGACCUGUGGCUGGGGGUGAAAGGCCAAUCAAACCGGGAGAUAGCUGGUUCUCCCCGAAAGCUAUUUAGGUAGCGCCUCGUGAAUUCAUCUCCGGGGGUAGAGCACUGUUUCGGCUAGGGGGCCAUCCCGGCUUACCAACCCGAUGCAAACUGCGAAUACCGGAGAAUGUUAUCACGGGAGACACACGGCGGGUGCUAACGUCCGUCGUGAAGAGGGAAACAACCCAGACCGCCAGCUAAGGUCCCAAAGUCAUGGUUAAGUGGGAAACGAUGUGGGAAGGCCCAGACAGCCAGGAUGUUGGCUUAGAAGCAGCCAUCAUUUAAAGAAAGCGUAAUAGCUCACUGGUCGAGUCGGCCUGCGCGGAAGAUGUAACGGGGCUAAACCAU